GAGAUGGGAGCAGCCAGCACCGUGGAAUGAGGCAAGGUUUGGAGGGGAAGAGCUCACGACAUGCUUCUAAACACUUAGCUAUGUGACCAUGAGGAACUCACCACCCCUCCAGCUUCAUCCACCUCACUUUUCACAUGAGAAAAGUAACAAACUUGUGCUUUGUUGGAAUCAAAGGCGGUAGCAAGUAAAUGUAAUAAUGCUUUUAAACUGUCAAGUCCUAUUCAGAUGAAAAGAUACACCAUUGCCUUUCUCCUAAGCAGGGCAUUGUGCCUCCAUGAAUACCUACAAUCAAGGUGUUCCCAGGCCCCAUGUAUACACUGCCAGUGCCAGUGCUGGGGGAUUCCAAAGGAGCAGAAGUUGUGGGCCCCUCCCAGCUGGAGAAUAACAUCAAGCCUUCCUCUUUAUAUAGGCUUAGAGAGCCACUACUCGAAGCCAAGCCUUACGUCAGGCAGCAGAGAUACCAAGAUGAGGUUGAAGAAAACACACGGCUUUCUCCACUCAUGGACUCCAAUGAGGAUGGCAACAACAUGGGCUGAGACUUGACCUUGUGACUCCAGCCUAGGAUUAUAUAAGGAUGUGACUGACCUUAGAGGAUUUCACGGGAACUUAGCUGUACACGUGGAACCCAUUUAUUUGCUGACACUUCUCAUUUCCUUUCAGAACAAACCUACAUUCCCAGACCUAUAAUUUUCUUGAGAAAAUGGGUUUAUUAUAAGUCACUCAAUAAAACACCCUACCAUGGCUUCCCAGUACAAA
Long non-coding RNA from Homo sapiens (human), 756 nucleotides. Ensembl annotates it as long intergenic non-protein coding RNA 2153. The record is from Ensembl. NCBI's taxonomy places the organism in Eukaryota, Metazoa, Chordata, Mammalia, Primates, Hominidae.